GAUGAACGCUGGCGGCGUGCCUAAUACAUGCAAGUCGAGCGAACGGACGAGAAGCUUGCUUCUCUGAUGUUAGCGGCGGACGGGUGAGUCACACGUGGAUAACCUACCUAUAAGACUGGGAUAACUUCGGGAAUCCGGCGCUAAUCCCGUAUAAUAUUUUGCACCGCAUUGUUCAAAAGUAAAAUACGGUCUUUCUGUCACUUAUAGCUGCAUCCGCGCUGCAUUAGCUAGUUGGUAAGGUAACGGCUUACCAAGGCAACGAUGCAUCGCCGAGCUGCGAGGGGGAUGGGCGACACUGGAACUGAGAGACGGUACAGAAUCCUACGGGAGGCAGAAGUAGGGAAGCGUGCGAAAUGGGCGAAAUCCUGACGGAGGAACGCAGCGUGAGUGAUGAAGGUCUGCGGAUCGGAAAACUCUGUUAUUAGGGAAGAACAUAUGUGUAAGUAACUGUGCACAACUUGACGGUACCUAAUCAGAAGGACACGGCUAACUAGGUG
This 497-nucleotide ribosomal RNA is filed under the name uncultured bacterium. Its description in RNAcentral is "partial 16S ribosomal RNA". It matches the Rfam family "Bacterial small subunit ribosomal RNA", at positions 28 to 507 of the family's 1533-position model. The record is from RNAcentral.